Molecule: ribosomal RNA, 173 nt
Filed under: Tachysurus virgatus
Lineage: Eukaryota; Metazoa; Chordata; Actinopteri; Siluriformes; Bagridae
Description: partial 12S ribosomal RNA
Source: RNAcentral
CACCGCGGUUAUACGAAAGACCCUAGUUGAUAAACACGGCGUAAAGGGUGGUUAAGGAAAACAAAUAAUAAAGCUAAAGACCCUCUAAGCUGUCAUACGCAUUCCGAGAGCGCGAAACCCAAACACGAAAGUAGCUUUAAAUAUUAUUACCUGAACCCACGAAAGCUAAGAAA